This 71-nucleotide transfer RNA is filed under the name Eurylepis taeniolata (Alpine Punjab skink). RNAcentral's name for it is "tRNA-His". It matches the Rfam family "tRNA". From Rfam's summary of the family: Transfer RNA (tRNA) molecules are approximately 80 nucleotides in length. Lineage: Eukaryota; Metazoa; Chordata; Lepidosauria; Squamata; Scincidae. The record is from RNAcentral. RNAcentral also lists the same sequence under 1 other name.
UGUCAAUAUAGUUUAAUAAAAACAUUAGGAUGUGGAUCUAAAAAUAGAGGCUAAGCCCCCCUUAUUGACCA